UACGUAGGGUGCGAGCGUUAAUCGGAAUUACUGGGCGUAAAGCGUGCGCAGGCGGUUUUGUAAGCCAGAUGUGAAAGCCCCGGGCUUAACCUGGGAAUGGCAUUUGGGACUGCAAGGCUUGAGUGCGGCAGAGGAGACUGGAAUUCCUGGUGUAGCAGUGAAAUGCGUAGAGAUGUGGAGGAACACCAGUGGCGAAGGCGGCCUUCUGGUCUGUAACUGACGCUGAGGCGCGAAAGCGUGGGGAGCAAACAGG
RNAcentral lists this ribosomal RNA (253 nucleotides) under uncultured bacterium. Its description in RNAcentral is "partial 16S ribosomal RNA". It matches the Rfam family "Bacterial small subunit ribosomal RNA", at positions 524 to 776 of the family's 1533-position model. The record is from RNAcentral.